Long non-coding RNA from Acinonyx jubatus (cheetah), 5838 nucleotides. RefSeq lists it as uncharacterized. The record is from RefSeq and is a predicted model, not a curated record. Lineage: Eukaryota; Metazoa; Chordata; Mammalia; Carnivora; Felidae. The transcript is spliced from 3 exons.
AGUGGUAGGAUGGCCUCCACUCUGAUGUUGGGGCAAUUAGUUUUAUCUUUGAUGUUCUGGGUUGGAUCAGAGCAGACUACAAAUAAGGUGAAACAGACAGAGGUGCCAAAUGCUGGAAUAUUUUGCUUGGUUGUAAAUAUCUAAUAAAUCUUUUUCCUUUUUAAAGACUCCUAGUGAUAUGGGAAAUUGAGCACUUAAAGUGCUCACUUAAGAAAAGCCCAGGAGCCACUGGACAUCCUUGAGUAUUUGGAGCUUUUAAAUUCAGAAUUACUUGUUUCUUUUCUGGGGAUGGCAUCCUUUAGGGUCUGUAGGCAGUGCUGCUGGAAAUGCUCAGAGAAGAAGUACAGCUUGUGGGUCCCUCAGGUGAUGACAAUAUCAUGGAUCUUUAGUAAAGGGACAAUGAGGAUCAGGGAAAAUGUGCAAAACUCUGAUGGAUAGGCAUCAUAUCCUGUGAGUCCAGUUUUGAGGGCAGUUGAAGGGGGACACAAGUCCUUCUGAAGCUAGGUGCUAUCAGCAGUGGCCUGAAUUUAUCAUGGUUUAUCAAGAAGGUAUUCUGUGGGGUUGCUGAGAGCUUCUUCCUAGCCCCAAGGACUAAGGGAUGGAGUGCUGUGAGACUCAGAACAAGGCUCUGUCAGAUUCUGUUGAGCAUUAAAUCACAGUAAUUUUCUUCAGCUUACAUAGUGGUGUUUAUGCUGGGCACAUACACUUGAAGUGCCUACCCUGACCCAGAAUAGGCACAACAAUCCCUCCCCCGACCACCUCUGAGGUGUUGGCUAGAAGAAGGGGCAGAUACAUAAGUCUCCAUGUUAGGCUUCUAGGCUCUUUUUCACCCACUGAGCCCUCACUCUUUUCCUAAGUUUGGCCUGUCAGAACCAAGCCACUGAAACCCAGUUAUAAACUGAAAUGCCCUCUGUCUGCUAACCUCACUCCUUAACAGUUAUCUUCACCCCCAAGGCUGCAACAUACUUUAAUUCUGGAAAUUUUAGGAAGUGCCCUUGCAGACCUCUCUUUGUUUUGUAAGAAGGGGAUCUAUCCACCAUUCAUCUUCCAUGAUGAAGUUGAUUCUUAAAUGUCAUACUAAAAUGUAUUUAUCUCUAAAUAAAACAAUUUAGCCCACAGUAGCUAGGAAUGUGUUUAAAUUUCGUCUUACAUAUAGUUCUAAUUCUUUGAGGUUGUAUGAAGUUUUUGGGGGAAGUACACAUAUUUUGUAAAAUAAAUACUUUCACAUUUCAAGUUACUCUCUUUAAUAUAAGUUCCAAGAACCUUGUUUGAAAUUUCAUUUCAUGGUCAAUUCAGUAUAUAAUGAAUAGCUUAGGGAGGUAAUGGUGUGAAUAACCUGGGCCAUGACAGACAUGGAUAUGUUUUUUCUCCUUAAUUUAUACCUAUUGUGGAGAUGGCAUGGGUGAAUAUAACCCUAAUUAUCUUCAGGGAUAGAGUUCCUGUGUAAUCUGCCAAAAUCCAUGGAUUGCUAUAUAUACAACAGUGACUAUGCUCCUCAGGUUCUCACCCACUGGGGAGCCCAGAACGGGUUGCUGCAAGGGUCUCUCACUUUUUGUCCCUUGAUAAAGGAUCUGUGUUAUGGCUGAUGCUUGGGCUUUCUGCAGGGUGCACCUCCAUCUGAAAGAGGGACAAGUUGCUUUACAAGGAAGCUCUUCCCAGCCUAGGCCUUUAAUCAUUUAGAAGCAGUGUCCUUCUAUGUAUUUGGAGAACUGGGGUGCACAUUUAUUGACAAACCUUCCAGAUGUUCAAUCCAUCACGAAACACUUGUUUCUUUCAGAACUCUAUUUCUUCCAGAAAUAUAUGUGUUUCCUAUCACAGCUGUAAUGAAUUACUAUAAAUGUUGGAGGCCAGAAGUUCAAAAUCAACUUCACUAUACUAAGUCAAAGUAUCAGCAGGACUGAUUCCUUCUAGAAGUUCUAUGGGAGAAGCCAUUUUCUUGACUUUUCAAGCUUCUAGAAACUGCCUGAAUUCUUUGGCUUGUGGCCACUUUUCUCUGUCCUCUAAGCCAGUGAUACAGCAUCUUCAAAAAGCUUUCUAGAAGUUCCUUGUUUCUGUUUUGACAUUACUGUCCGACUUACUCUGACAACUCUCAGGUCCCUCUUAGGCAAACCCUUAUUAUUAUUACAUUGGGCCCGUUCAGAUAAUCCAGAAUAAUCUCCCCAUCUCAAGACCCUUAAUUUGGUCAUAUGUGCAAAAUCCUUCAUGCCAUGUAAAGUAACAUUCACAGAUUUCAGGGAUUAGGAAGUAACAUCUGUGGUGGUGGGUAUUAUUUAGGUUACCACAAGAAAGUAUAAAUGUUGAAGUAUGAAGUUGAUGACCUUCUUUGUGGUAUGGCUUUAUGCAAGGUCUUUCACAAAUAAUUUCAGUAAAAGUCCUUUUUUUGGUAGAAAUAUUUUUUAAAAGCUUUUCAGUAUAAAACUAUCCUAUUUUUCUAUUGUUAAACAAACAAGCAGUUUAUAGUUUAAUCACAGACUGUUUUAUAAAUGUGAUUUUAAACAGCCAAUUAUUUUGGAUAUAUUUGAUAUUUUGCUCUUCAGUGUUAUGGCAAUAAAUUAAUUUAAUAUUCACCCAGUUGUCAUGUGCCAUUUCUUAAGAGUUCUACUUUAGCUCAGCACUCAUUAGAAUUUCCUAAUAAACACUGCAAAAUGACUCCAUCCUGAAAUAUUGUCAAAUUACUAUGGAGAAGUUACUUACACACAAAGCUCAUGUAAUCAGGAAUAGGAAUUCUGAACACUGAUUUUUCUCUUUCUCUUUUUUUUAUCUGUCUGUCUCUGUCUGUCUGUCUGUUUCUUGGAAACUUCACUCUGUGGAAGGCCAGCUGCAAUGCUGUUACAAAACCUUAUGGGGAGACCGUUUGGUAAGGAAUGAAUUCCUUCAGCUAAGAGUUAGCAAGGCCUGCCAACAAUACCAUGCUAAAAAGAGCAUAAAGAGAAGCUUUGAAUAAGGUGUGAAUUGCUCCACAAGGGUAGGAUGUGAUCGGUGCUGAGACACUGGGAAACUUUUCUCAAAAGAAAAAUGAAAAGUAUUCUCAUCUGGGAAAUAAAGAGCUGCAUUCUAUGAACCCAAAGCCGCCUGUGAACUCUGCAAUUCCACAAAUCUAACAUGCUGUGAUCAGAAAAAUAAACUGAAGAGUUGAAUUUGAUAAUUCAGGUAAAAAUAUCUAGCAUAUAUUAAAUAAAAGACAAGAUGGAGUACUUGAUUUACUCACUUAUCAAAUGUAUAUUGCACAUUUACUAUGUCUAUGGCACUGGACUAAGUGGUAUGUGUAUGUGUGUGUAUUGAGUAUGGUAGGAAUCCUAAAAUGAGGCUUAGAGUCUAGUUAAAGGAGAUUGGGUGUGUACAUGAGUAACGCUCACUGACAAGGGCUCUCCAUUUUAGGAAAUUAACUAGACAAUUGAGCUACAAUUCAUUUUAUCUUUUAAGACAGCACUUGAUGUUCUGAGAUAAAUGGCUCAAUCUGAAGUUACUUCAGAGUGAAAUAAUUUUAUCGCAUAGCAGAACAUCACAAUUUGUAGGCACAAAGCUUGCCAAGUCCAUAAGAAUAUGUGGGUGUACUUGUUUAAAAAAAAACAUGUGAUUAGGUCAGAAAACUCUUCCCCAGGGUCUGCCUUAACUGAAGACAAAUAAACCAAUCCCAAUCCUGACUGAUAGUAAUAAUAAUUUAUAAAACAGGUGGUAGAGCUGAACAGAAAGAUUAGAGAAAGGUGUUAAUCAAAGUCACAGUGGCAUGCUUAUACAAGAAAGCAGCAAGAAAAUAGAUGGUUGGUGUCUGGGACUGCUGGGUUCUUUUAGGUAAUUUUUUAGCUUUGAUUAAUGAUGCCACCAGACUACAGUGCCUAAUCCUAUAUAGCAUAUUACAAAUCCAUAUCUUUCUUCACACAGGCUCCUCCCAUCCACAUUGCAAACUGUCUGCAGCAUCCUCAUUUCUGACGCAUAAACACAUUUUCUUAGUUUAGGUUUAAUUUUUUCUUAAAUGCUCAGUCAUAGAGCAAAAGAUGAUUGCAAAUAUAGGUGGAUAUUUAUAAUUUAUAUACUAAGGUGGAGGGAUAUAGAAGGAGGUACAUGAAUACAGACUUCGUUGUUUUAGGCAUAUGUAGGAACAUUGAAGACUUCCCCCCCCUCCCGCCCAGGAAGACAGGGAAGGUUUUAGAGUGGUAAUCUGGGAUGAAAAAGAAGAAUGGGAAAGUAACAUUAAAAUAUGUUAAUUUCAAUAUUCCAAGUGAAUGACCAUUAAGAUUUGUGAAAGUGGGAAUCAAGAAACUUAAAAUUAUUAUAUUAUUAUCUAACCUACAAUCUAUACACAUUUUCUCAAUAUUUCCAAUAAUGUCUUUUAUAGCUUUUGUUUUGUUGAAAGGACAUCCAUAUUGGGAUUCUGGUAUAGACCUAGAGCAUUAAUUCAUUGUUAUAAAUGUAGAUUUGAGAGUCACUCGCUAGGAUGGAAGUGAAGUUACUAAGGCAAUAGUUAAGGUGAAAUCACUAUAGAAAGAGAGAAUAAGAAAUAAGGUUAAUUAAGGACAGAAUCGUGAGGUAAUUUUAUAUUAACUUUUAAAUUUUCAAAAUUAUUGUAUAGUCAGUAUUUUCCAUAUUUAGUCAAUCAAAAUUAUUUAAUUAAUAUUCUUGUUUGUGACAAGUUAUGAAGUUAUUAAAGGGUGGAACACUUGGUUUUCUGACUCCUAAGCAUGUGGUCCUUCUACUAUAACACAAUUACAGCCCAUGAAUACAUCGUUUGGGUUCUGGAAGACACUUCAGUGUGGCUUAUUCAAUUUUCCAAAGAUAGUUGUAAUAAGAUUUCCUAAGACACAUGUUCUUUUGCAAUGUGACUUGGCAUUCCCCCAUCAAGGGGUAGGAUCAGCAAUCGGGUCAUGCCGUAGAGAUACAAAAAGUAUGCUUCCCUUUUUACUGGUGACAUAUAAUGUAAUCAUUAUGAGUUAAUAAAUACAUACUUGUUUAUAUCUUCAUAUUAUUCUAAGAAAGAUUUAAGGCAGCUGGAGAUAUUUUGUGGCAUUACUGCUUGAAGUCCUCAGAAUGUAUAUUUAGAUCACUGAACCUAUUUUUCUAACCAAGUGUAUGGUUUUCUUUCCACAUAAUCUUUUCGUAUUGCUCCAGCUGUUCCCUUUCAGAAAUGUCUUCUUUCAAAAGUUAUGCUUUAUUUUUAUUUUUUCUAUUUAUUUACUUCUUUGUGUGUAUGUGUAUUAAUUCCAGGAUAAUUAACACAGUGCUAUAUUAGAUUCAAGUGUACAAUAUAGUGAUUCAACAAUUCUAAAUAUUACUCAGUGCUCAUCAAGAUAAGUGUUCUCUUAAUCCCCUUCACCUAUUUUAUCCAUCUCCCAUUCACCUUCCCUCUGGCAACUACCAGCUUGUUUUCUAUAUUUAUUACUGUUUUUUGUUUGUCUCUUAAUUUUGUUUGUUUUGUUUCCUAAUUUCCACACAUGAGUGAAAUUAUAUGGUAUUUGUCUUUCUUUGACUGACUUAUUUCACUUAGCAUUAUACCCUCAAGAUCUAUUCAUAUUGUUACAAAUGGCAAGAUUUCACUCUUUUUUAUGGCUGAGUAAUAUUCCUUUCAAGAGUUAUUAUACCUACCAUUUUAGAGACAAAUUAUCUAGUACAAUUAGUCUCAUGAGUUGAUGGAAAUGCUUACAUCAAACCAGAUGUCUAAUAAUGUCCUAUGUCCACUAGUCAGAGGCUUAGGCAAGGAGUGAUAGGACAUAAGCAGAAAAUAACUACUUUUUGACUUGGAGCCUCUGAGAAAAAGGAAGUAGACCUCAGUGAGUGAUGUAGGUGGAAAAGAAGAGGGUGAAAGAAACCACUAUCUGUAACUCAUUGACUAGCAUCAGGUUU